Molecule: long non-coding RNA, 340 nt
Organism: Xenia sp. Carnegie-2017
Lineage: Eukaryota; Metazoa; Cnidaria; Anthozoa; Malacalcyonacea; Xeniidae
Exons: 3
Source: RefSeq, a predicted model, not a curated record
CACAAGAAAAACUGUUUUGUUCAGAGUAAGAAACUGAUGGAAGCUUUGAAUAAUUUUGGUCAAAAACGGCAGAUAAAUCCUGGGGAUGGGGGAUGAAGCUUUCUAUGUUUACAGAUGUAUACCAUUGUGAAUUUAUAAUUUCAUUGCUAUCACAAUUUAUAGAUUAAUAUAAAAAAUUUUGAUGCUAUGAGAUGGUCUCAUCAAUGUGCAACAAUUGAACUGGAUUUCCAACUUCCUGAGAGAUUCAACCUCACGCUAGGAUUUUAUGGCUUUCUCCCCAUCAAGUUGUAGUAAUUCCUGUCAGUAGUAAAUAUGAUGAUUAUGCCGAACCGGUAAAUUU